CACGUAGGGGGCAAGCGUUGUCCGGAUUUACGGGGCGUAAAGAGCGUGUAGGCGGCCAAGCAGGUCCGUUGUGAAAACUGGAGGCUUAACCUCCAGACGUCGACGGAAACCGCGCGGCUAGAGUCCGGUAGGGGAGCGUGGAAUUCCUGGUGUAGCGGUGAAAUGCGCAGAUAUCAGGAGGAACACCAGCGGCGAAGGCGGCGCUCUGGGCCGGAACUGACGCUGAGGAGCGAAAGCGUGGGUAGCAAACAGG
RNAcentral lists this ribosomal RNA (253 nucleotides) under uncultured bacterium. RNAcentral describes it as "partial 16S ribosomal RNA". It matches the Rfam family "Bacterial small subunit ribosomal RNA", at positions 524 to 776 of the family's 1533-position model. The record is from RNAcentral.